RNAcentral lists this ribosomal RNA (449 nucleotides) under uncultured bacterium. Its description in RNAcentral is "partial 16S ribosomal RNA". It matches the Rfam family "Bacterial small subunit ribosomal RNA", at positions 338 to 795 of the family's 1533-position model. The record is from RNAcentral.
CCUACGGGAGGCAGCAGUGGGGAAUAUUGGGCAAUGGGCGCAAGCCUGACCCAGCAACGCCGCGUGAAGGAAGAAGGCUUUCGGGUUGUAAACUUCUUUUCUCAGGGACGAAGCAAGUGACGGUACCUGAGGAAUAAGCCACGGCUAACUACGUGCCAGCGGCCGCUGUAAUACGUAGGUGGCAAGCGUUAUCCGGAUUUACUGGGUGUAAAGGGCGUGUAGGCGGGGACGGAAGUCAGAUGUGAAAACCACGGGCUCAACCUGUGGCCUGCAUUUGAAACUGUGUUUCUUGAGUACUGGAGAGGCAGACGGAAGUGCUAGUGUAGGGGUGAAAUGCGUAGAUAUUAGGAGGAACACCAGUGGCGAAGGCGGUCUGCUGGACAGGAACUGCCACUGACAUUGAUGCUCGAAAGUGUGGGUAUCAAACAGGAUUAGAUACCCGAGUAGUC